UUAUUUAGAAAUAUAAAGAUUAGAGUAGUAAUAGUUAUGGUCUUGAAACUCAAAAAAUUUGGCGGUAUUUUAGUCUAUUCAGAGGAACCUGUAAUGUAAUCGAUAAUCCACGAUGGAUCUCACUUAAUUUUGUAUUUUAAUUUGUAUAUCGCCGUUAUUUGAAGAUUUUAUAAGAAAAAUAAUUUUCUAAAAUUUUUAUUAAAAAAUAAAUCAGGUCAAGGUGCAGUUUAUGAUUAAGUUUUAUAUGGGUUACAAUAAAUUUAUUUAUACGGAUUAAAAAAUGAAAUAUUUUUAAGAAGGUGGAUUUGAUAGUAAAUUUUUAAAGAUAAAAAAAUUGAUU
RNAcentral lists this ribosomal RNA (340 nucleotides) under Campsicnemus picticornis. RNAcentral describes it as "partial 12S ribosomal RNA". The record is from RNAcentral. Lineage: Eukaryota; Metazoa; Arthropoda; Insecta; Diptera; Dolichopodidae.